UUCUCGAUAGUAUAGUGGUGAGUAUCUCCGCCUGUUACGCGGAAGACCAGGGUUCAAUUCCCCGUCGGGGAG
This 72-nucleotide transfer RNA is filed under the name Saccoglossus kowalevskii. Its description in RNAcentral is "tRNA-Asn". It matches the Rfam family "tRNA". Rfam says of the family: Transfer RNA (tRNA) molecules are approximately 80 nucleotides in length. Their secondary structure includes four short double-helical elements and three loops (D, anti-codon, and T loops). Lineage: Eukaryota; Metazoa; Hemichordata; Enteropneusta; Harrimaniidae. The record is from RNAcentral.